GUGGAAAUUAGCCGUUCACUUCACAGGUGAGCGGCGGCAGCUCGAUCUACUCGAAAACAGCUUACAGAUAUAUCAGCAGUCCAGUUGGGUAGAGUUAGGGUAGUAAACAGGAAUCAUCAGUGGUGGCACCACCUAGCAAAGACAGCCAGCAGAAGGAGGGACUCCGGGAAACGUUCUUGGCUGUACCUCUCAGCAGAAGCGAAGAUCAGGGAAGAUGGGAGACCCACAAGCAUUGCACAGCAAGCUUUACACGCAAGCCGAGCUCAGCCCCCGUCACUGUCCGUUGAGCCCUAACCGAAUAUUAGGACUCAUGUGUCCUCCACGUGUCUUGCCUCAGCACAUGUGUCUGUCUCAGCUGACAUCACUUUGUCAAUCAGUCUGAGUCUGUGGAAGCGGCAAGAAACAGUAGCACACCGCAAGGAGGUUUUUGGUGUGUUUCUCUCUAUGGAGUCCUGACAAAUGGAGCUCAACUAUGCAAUGUAAGGCGGACCGAUAUAGUGUGUUGUUAGUGCAGAAUCCUUCAUCACAUGUCUUUUGAUGUGCUCUUCUGGCAGAACACCCUUUCUCCUGUGUCUGUUUUAGCCGAACGCUCCUUUAAGAGUCUGCAUUAGCUUCUCACCUGCGUCUACUUUAACGAAGUGUUCCUUUCCAUGUUUGCUCCAGUAAAACACCAUCUAACACAACUGACUUUCCAAAGAACCCUUAAAGUUUCCACUUCUGUUUCGCUUGCUCUUUAGCCUAUAUGGAAGCUCCUCUGUUCUGUUCUGUCGCUGGGUCGACUUCAUGUAUCUUUCCUUUGAACCUUGUCUCUUGUGUUAGUUCAUAGGUUUGCUUGUUUGUUCAUAUAAUAUUGGUUUUGGCUUUGAGCUUCCUGGGAUCAAGGGCUUUCUGUAUGCGCCUUGGCGCCACCCCAGUGUGGAGGGCAGAACAUGAUACCACCAACUCAGAGACUGGUCAAGCGUCAAUUUGGAACCAGUCAUCUAGGUAGCUCCCAAAAGAACCUUGCAGAAAAAUCUCCACCGUCAGCGAGUGCCAAACAUCUUAAUAAAUGGAAUCCUACCAUCAAGAACCGAUGCUGCUUAAGAUGCUGGCAGCCCCUCCGGAGGUUGGGUGGCAGAGGCCCGGAACAUGGCGGCAGAAGUCAUCCAAGGAUGCUACUUUGCAAACAGUGCUUAAUGUGGUAUGAGGCAAAGACGAUUUCUCUAGAUCCGGAAUAAGCAUGGCUGUCAGUGUAACUGUCAUUGCCUGAGUUAAAUAAAAAUUGGAACAUCAGAAAUCACAUUUUAAAAACUCAGUAAUCAUUUUUUUUUUACCCAUUACUUUUACCAAUACGUAUCUACUCACUGAUUCUUAUGGGAAUACAAGUGCCACAAAGAAAAAGGAAAUGAAAGAAAGAAUAAAAAAAACGAAAGAAAGAUAAAGCCCUUCUUUCAAGUCAAGAUGGAUAGGGGCUGCCAGACACCCAGGAGAGAUGUUUGGGUUUCUAGCUCUGUCUUUGGUUUGCAAUCUGCCAGGUGGGCCCCAGGAUUCAUCUGCAAGAGGUGGC
Rattus norvegicus (Norway rat) is the source of this 1546-nucleotide long non-coding RNA. RefSeq lists it as uncharacterized. The record is from RefSeq and is a predicted model, not a curated record. NCBI's taxonomy places the organism in Eukaryota, Metazoa, Chordata, Mammalia, Rodentia, Muridae.